UGUGUCGCCUUGAAAAGGUGACAUAUAGGGGUUACUUUUGUCGGCGGUGUCGUUGGCGUCUGUGUCGGCGUCGUUGUCGGCGUCCCCUAAAGCUUGUCCGGAGCAUAACUCAGUCACUAUAAGUCUGAUUGACUUCAAACUUGGUAUGCAUGCUUCUUUCAAUAACCCGAAGUGCAGUGCACAAGGACCGGUACUCUGCAGUUUCUUAUUUUUUGAGUUAUUGCCCUUUGUUAAUUUUCAUACUUUAAUUUUGUCCGGGCCAUUUCUCUUCAACUAAAAAAGCUAUGGACCUGAAACUUUCAUAGGAUGAUAGAUCUCAUUAAGAAGAAAUGCAGUGCACAAGAACCAGUACUCUGCACUUUCCUAAUUUUUGAGUUAUUGCCCUUUGUUAAUUUUCAUACUUUAUUUUUGUCCGAGCCAUUUCUCCUAAUGUAUAAAAGCCAUGGACUUGAAACUUCAUAGGAUGAUAGGUCUCAUUAAGAAGAAGUGCAGUGCACAAGAAUUGGUACUCUGCAUUUCUUAUUUUUUGAGUUAUUGCCCUUUGUUUAUUUUCAUACUUUAAUUUUGUCCGGGCCAUUUCUCCUUAAGUAUAAAAGCUAUGGACUUGAAACUUCAUAGGAUGAUAGAUCUCAUUAUUAAGAAGUGCAGUGCACAAGAAUCGGUACUCUGCAUUUCUUAAUUUUUGAGUUAUGGCCCUUUGUUAAUUUUCAUACUUAAUUUUUGUCCAGGCCAUUUCUCCGAAAGCAGGCUUUCAAGCGGGCCCUACUUUUCCUUCUUUUCCUACUUUUCCCUACUUUUUUUGUUUGACCCCUACUUUUCCCUACUUUUUACUUGAAAUGCCCUACUAUCCCUACUUUUUUUUAAGAAAAAAGCUCGAGGAUAAUUGAUAAAAAAAUCCAGUAUAAGCAGUAGAUUGAUUUUGAUAUAAUCUUUAUCUCAAAUUUAAUAAGAACCAGAUGCAAGUUUAAUUGUAGGAAAAAGUUGAUGGAAGUAGGUCAUCAGUGGUGCAAGAGGGGUUCCACGAUGAGGAUGGUUUUAGCUGACAUGGCAGAAUCAGCGACUUUAGGUUGAUGUCCAGUUUCAUCCCGUUGUGGAAUCCCUAUUGAGACACUGCUGACUGGUUUCCUAAAUGAAGAAAAUGCCAUGGAUAUUAGUUGAUAAGGGUCUGUAUUUGUUUUUGCAUCAACUUUGGAAAAAAGGU
Ruditapes philippinarum (Manila clam) is the source of this 1201-nucleotide long non-coding RNA. RefSeq lists it as uncharacterized. The record is from RefSeq and is a predicted model, not a curated record. The transcript has 2 exons. NCBI's taxonomy places the organism in Eukaryota, Metazoa, Mollusca, Bivalvia, Venerida, Veneridae.